GGAAUCUUCGGCAAUGGGGGCAACCCUGACCGAGCAACGCCGCGUGAGUGAAGAAGGUUUUCGGAUCGUAAAGCUCUGUUGUAAGAGAAGAACGUGUGUGAGAGUGGAAAGUUCACACAGUGACGGUAACUUACCAGAAAGGGACGGCUAACUACGUGCCAGCAGCCGCGGUAAUACGUAGGUCCCGAGCGUUGUCCGGAUUUAUUGGGCGUAAAGCGAGCGCAGGCGGUUUAAUAAGUCUGAUGUGAAAGCCUUCGGCUUAACCGAAGAAGUGCAUCGGAAACUGGGAAACUUGAGUGCAGAAGAGGACAGUGGAACUCCAUGUGUAGCGGUGAAAUGCGUAGAUAUAUGGAAGAACACCAGUGGCGAAGGCGGCUGUCUGGUCUGUAACUGACGCUGAGGCUCGAAAGCAUGGGUAGCGAACA
This 425-nucleotide ribosomal RNA is filed under the name uncultured bacterium. Its description in RNAcentral is "bacterial SSU rRNA". It matches the Rfam family "Bacterial small subunit ribosomal RNA", at positions 358 to 774 of the family's 1533-position model. The record is from RNAcentral.